Chenopodium quinoa (quinoa) is the source of this 1097-nucleotide long non-coding RNA. RefSeq lists it as uncharacterized. The transcript has 3 exons. NCBI's taxonomy places the organism in Eukaryota, Viridiplantae, Streptophyta, Magnoliopsida, Caryophyllales, Amaranthaceae. The record is from RefSeq and is a predicted model, not a curated record.
ACAGAGUCUGCAAAACGCCGAUACCGACACUACUAAAAUUCGGCCAAUUUACGACCGUUUAUUCACGAUAGUCAACAAAACGGACGCAAUAUUUUAUUUAUUGAGACUGUUAAUUUACCGGUCGUGGACUUUAGGAAUUGUGACCGUUUAAUAACAUUCUGCGGCUGUGCUAGCAGCCGUAAAUAAAAUUUAAUUUAAAAAAGAAUAAUGUUUACAAUCGUCUUACCGAUCGCAGAUACAUACGCAGAUUUGGUCGAGAGUUUUUGAAAAUUGAAUAAAAAUUAAAGGAAGCUGCGUUUCAUUUUGUUAGAGAAAGGAAAGGGGGGAAAACGAAGAAGACAAAAGAAGGCGAAUAGCGGUCACACAUCCAAGAUCUCCUCCCACCGACGCGGCUUCCUCCGGCCGGCGACGCUUCUCGUCGGACCACCGUCGCCGGUAUUCCAUGUUGCCCGUUACUCCUCCUUUUUUCGUCGCCACCACGCAGACCACGACGCCGGCCAUCCGUACUGCCCGAGCCUGCUCCUUUUUCCGUCGCCGCCACCCAGGUAUGUCUUCUUUUAAUUUCUUUAAGUUCUCUACAAACCCUAACUUCCAUUUGAAUACUUGUAUAAUUUUGUGUUUUGGGUUAUGUUCAUUGCUGUGUUAUAAAAAUAUGGAUUUAGAUCCUUAGAUAUUAUGUUUUGAUUUUUGAAAAUCAGGAAUUCUUUGAGCUAAAACUGUUGUCUGUUUCAUUUUGUUAUCACUUGUAGUCGAUGGUUAUUCAAACUGUAAAUGCAUAGAUUAUUGAUGCCUGGUGCAUGCACAAAGUGAAUACAUGAUUUCAAAAUCAUUAAUUCAACUACUUGCAUUGAAGAGUUAAUCCUUGCAUAUCUUCACGUGGCUUGGCUUUUUUGUGUGUGUGUGUGAUGGUAGGAAUGUGAAAAGUUCCCUUGGAUAUAUGUUACAUAAUUUUUUUUUAAUUAUAAGCUUUAUGAUUUUCAUUUAUUAACAUUGUGUAAUUGUUUAAGUGAAAUUCUUAAUUGUUACUUAAGAAUGAUUAAUAGAUUUGUUUUAGCUUUUCGAAACUAAUUACAUGAUAAUAACCCUUGAUUAAAAUG